UACGGAGGGUGCAAGCGUUGUUCGGAAUUACUGGGCGUAAAGAGCGUGUAGGCGGCUGAAUAAGUCAGAUGUGAAAUCCCUGGGCUUAACCCAGGACGUGCAUUUGAAACUAUUCAGCUUGAGUAGGGGAGAGGAAAGUGGAAUUCCUGGUGUAGAGGUGAAAUUCGUAGAUAUCAGGAGGAACACCGGUGGCGGAGGCGACUUUCUGGCCCUAUACUGACGCUGAGACGCGAGAGCGUGGGUAGCAAACAGG
Molecule: ribosomal RNA, 253 nt
Filed under: uncultured bacterium
Lineage: Bacteria
Description: partial 16S ribosomal RNA
Rfam family: Bacterial small subunit ribosomal RNA
Source: RNAcentral